UAAUCCUAGGGGGACCCAGGCAGUUGCGCAAGGACCUGAGUGGUAGGCAGGACCAAGGCGACCUGACCACGUGGACCAACAGGGGAAUGACGUGUGUCCACUAACUCACGCAGCGCUACCAAUAGGCACCCGCCCCCUCGCAUGCUGCGCCAAGUGUGGUUCCUCAGGUUUCACCCACCUCGACCCCCGUGCCCGCACCAGGUGGCCUGUGGGAAAACGAGAAUGCACCACCCAAGUAGGCUGCGAGCUCAGGAGUAG
This 258-nucleotide long non-coding RNA is filed under the name Setaria viridis. RNAcentral describes it as "long non-coding RNA (SVIR_LNC005481)". Lineage: Eukaryota; Viridiplantae; Streptophyta; Magnoliopsida; Poales; Poaceae. The record is from RNAcentral.